GUCUCUGAGGAUGAAUAGAAUUAUACUUUCGUUCUUCCAAGAUAUUUCAUGCGGAAAAUUUAUUGGAGACCUGAACUGAAGAGGC
This is a small nucleolar RNA of Pistacia vera, 85 nucleotides long. RefSeq annotates it as small nucleolar RNA Z159/U59. The record is from RefSeq and is a predicted model, not a curated record. The transcript has a single exon. NCBI's taxonomy places the organism in Eukaryota, Viridiplantae, Streptophyta, Magnoliopsida, Sapindales, Anacardiaceae.